Molecule: long non-coding RNA, 785 nt
Filed under: Takifugu rubripes (torafugu)
Lineage: Eukaryota; Metazoa; Chordata; Actinopteri; Tetraodontiformes; Tetraodontidae
Description: lncRNA (ENSTRUG00000031272.1)
Source: RNAcentral
AAUGCUCCUCCUGCUCGGCCUCGAGAGCGGUGAUUAACAUUGUCAUUUCAAUUGGUGUGAAUGAGACGAUUAUACUGUUUUAAUUUUAAUUAUGUAAAAUUCUAAAAAGCAGGAGGAGUAACGAUAAGGCUGCUUCAAUUUCUACUAAUAACGGCGUCUUCACAACUCAUUGAAUCGGAACUGACUAAACUAAUGUUGUCUUUUUAGUUCCAUCUGCCACACGCUCCAAACCCCCACCUGGAGAUACCGCUGAUCUACAGGCAUCACUAGUUGAUGCUGUUCCAGCUUCACCAGGUGUGAAGAGGAAGAGACCUGUGCCCCUCCCUCCACAGCUGGCCUUCCUGGUGACAGAGACAGAGGGUCUCACAAAGGUAGAGGAGCCCCACUCAACUUCAAGACCUGACUCUUGCACGGCACAGACCUCUGACGGCAGAGUGCCUCCUUUGACGGACUCUACCGAAGACGAAAAGAGUGUUCCCAUAGCUCCUGUUCCCAUGCCUGUCCCUGACCACGACAUGAGCAAGUGGAUCUGCUCACAACAUCAAAAGCUGUGGAUGAGGACGGCACUUCAACAACUUGGGUUGUGGCCUGGGUCCCGACCAGUGCAUAACCCUGGGAACGCAAUUUCUCUUUGGCGUCUUCCUCCUCAACCGGAGCUACUGGACAUAGUGGCUGAGCUCCCAUCUCCCAACUUUUUUUCAGCUCCAUCCAUUUUUCAUUUGGAAGCCAGAGAGCCACAUCAUGGUCAGGUUGAGGAACAAUUACAUCCUGCCGUGCCUCCAUAG